AAGGCCGAUGAGGUAGUUUAUAAAGCUGCGAGUGUGUUUUCCUUCGCAGAUUUUAGGCUAUCUCGACAGCCUU
Ascaris suum (pig roundworm) is the source of this 73-nucleotide non-coding RNA. The record is from Rfam. Lineage: Eukaryota; Metazoa; Nematoda; Chromadorea; Rhabditida; Ascarididae.